AUCGAACGCUGGCGGCAGGCCUAACACAUGCAAGUCGAGCGGAUGAAGGGAGCUUGCUCCUGGAUUCAGCGGCGGACGGGUGAGUAAUGCCUAGGAAUCUGCCUGGUAGUGGGGGAUAACGUCCGGAAACGGGCGCUAAUACCGCAUACGUCCUGAGGGAGAAAGUGGGGGAUCUUCGGACCUCACGCUAUCAGAUGAGCCUAGGUCGGAGUAGCUAGUUGGUGGGGUAAAGGCCUACCAAGGCGACGAUCCGUAACUGGUCUGAGAGGAUGAUCAGUCACACUGGAACUGAGACACGGUCCAGACUCCUACGGGAGGCAGCAGUGGGGAAUAUUGGACAAUGGGCGAAAGCCUGAUCCAGCCAUGCCGCGUGUGUGAAGAAGGUCUUCGGAUUGUAAAGCACUUUAAGUUGGGAGGAAGGGCAGUAAGUUAAUACCUUGCUGUUUUGACGUUACCAACAGAAUAAGCACCGGCUAACUUCGUG
This 484-nucleotide ribosomal RNA is filed under the name uncultured bacterium. RNAcentral describes it as "partial 16S ribosomal RNA". It matches the Rfam family "Bacterial small subunit ribosomal RNA", at positions 30 to 507 of the family's 1533-position model. The record is from RNAcentral.